This 798-nucleotide ribosomal RNA is filed under the name uncultured Glomeromycotina. Its description in RNAcentral is "SSU rRNA". It matches the Rfam family "Eukaryotic small subunit ribosomal RNA", at positions 314 to 1114 of the family's 1831-position model. Lineage: Eukaryota; Fungi; Glomeromycota. The record is from RNAcentral.
AUCAACUUUCGAUGGUAGGAUAGAGGCCUACCAUGGUGGUAACGGGUAACGGGGUGUUAGGGCACGACACCGGAGAGGGAGCCUGAGAAACGGCUACCACAUCCAAGGAUGGCAGCAGGCGCGCAAAUUACCCAAUCCCGACACGGGGAGGUAGUGACAAUAAAUAACAAUACGGGGUUCUUUCGGAUCUCGUAAUUGGAAUGAGUACAAUUUAAAUCUCUUAACGAGGAACAAUUGGAGGGCAAGUCUGGUGCCAGCAGCCGCGGUAAUUCCAGCUCCAAUAGCGUAUAUUAAAGUUGUUGCAGUUAAAAAGCUCGUAGUUGAAUUUCGGGGUUAGUAAGUUGGUCAUGCCUUUGGUAUGCACUGGCUUUACUGAUUCCUCCUUCUUGACGAACCGUGAUGUCAUUAAUUUGGUGUUGCGGGAAAUCAGGACUGUUACUUUGAAAAAAUUAGAGUGUUUAAAGCAGGCUAACGCUUGAAUACAUUAGCAUGGAAUAAUGAAAUAGGACGUUAAUCCUAUUUUGUUGGUUUCUAGGAUCGACGUAAUGAUUAAUAGGGAUAGUUGGGGGCAUUAGUAUUCAAUUGUCAGAGGUGAAAUUCUUGGAUUUAUUGAAGACUAACUACUGCGAAAGCAUUUGCCAAGGAUGUUUUCAUUAAUCAAGAACGAAAGUUAGGGGAUCGAAGACGAUCAGAUACCGUCGUAGUCUUAACCAUAAACUAUGCCGACUAGGGAUCGGAUGAUGUUAAUUCUUUAAUGACUCAUUCGGCGCCUUACGGGAAACCAAAGUGUUUGGGUUC